UGGGGAAUAUUGCACAAUGGGGGAAACCCUGAUGCAGCGACGCCGCGUGAGCGAAGAAGGCUUUCGAGUCGUAAAGCUCUGUCCUAUGAGAAGAUAAUGACGGUAUCAUAGGAGGAAGCCCUGGCUAAAUACGUGCCAGCAGCCGCGGUAAUACGUAUGGGGCGAGCGUUGUCCGGAAUUAUUGGGCGUAAAGGGUACGUAGGCGGUUUUUUAAGUCAGGUGUCAAAGCGUGGAGCUUAACUCCAUUAAGCACUUGAAACUGAAAGACUUGAGUGAAGGAGAGGAAAGUGGAAUUCCUAGUGUAGCGGUGAAAUGCGUAGAUGUUAGGAGGAAUACCGGUGGCGAAGGCGACUUUCUGGACUUUUACUGACGCUCAGGUACGAAAGCGUGGGGAGCAAACAGG
This 403-nucleotide ribosomal RNA is filed under the name Verrucomicrobiota bacterium. Its description in RNAcentral is "Verrucomicrobia bacterium partial 16S ribosomal RNA". It matches the Rfam family "Bacterial small subunit ribosomal RNA", at positions 355 to 776 of the family's 1533-position model. Lineage: Bacteria; Pseudomonadati; Verrucomicrobiota. The record is from RNAcentral.